CGCCCUACGGGGGAAAGGGGGGGAUUCUUCGGAACCUCUCACUAUUGGAGCGGCCGCGGAUUAGCUAGUUGGUGGGGUAAAGGCUCACCAAGGCAACGAUCCGUAGCUGGUUUGAGAGGACGACCAGCCACACUGGGACUGAGACACGGCCCAGACUCCUACGGGAGGCAGCAGUGGGGAAUUUUGGACAAUGGGGGAAACCCUGAUCCAGCCAUCCCGCGUGUAUGAUGAAGGCCUUCGGGUUGUAAAGUACUUUUGGCAGAGAAGAACCUCCAAAGGUAUCUCAUACGAGAUACUGCUGACGGUAUCUGCAGAAUAAGCACCGGCUAACUACGUGCCAGCAGCCGCGGUAAUAGUAGGGUGCAAGCGUUAAUCGGAAUUACUGGGCGUAAAGCGUGUGUAGGCGGUUCGGAAAGAAAGAUAAAGAACUUGAUUCGAUGUGAAAUCCCAGGGCUC
This 456-nucleotide ribosomal RNA is filed under the name Alcaligenes faecalis. RNAcentral's name for it is "bacterial SSU rRNA". It matches the Rfam family "Bacterial small subunit ribosomal RNA", at positions 190 to 643 of the family's 1533-position model. The record is from RNAcentral. Lineage: Bacteria; Pseudomonadati; Pseudomonadota; Betaproteobacteria; Burkholderiales; Alcaligenaceae.